Molecule: long non-coding RNA, 855 nt
Organism: Mauremys mutica (yellowpond turtle)
Lineage: Eukaryota; Metazoa; Chordata; Testudines; Geoemydidae
Exons: 4
Source: RefSeq, a predicted model, not a curated record
AAAGCAGUAAUUUGCCAUUCCUCUAUUUUUCAGCUAAAUAAGAAAAAAGAACAAAUUAAAGCAUCAGCCUGAAGUAGAUACAUGUGUGUCACUACAUACCCCUAUGCUGUAUUAUACGCUUCCCACUCGCAGUUCUGAACCCUGGUAGAGAUGGUUUCACUGAAUCUGGCCCUGGCAACAAUAGACCUGAUAGAGGUGGCUUUGUAAAACUGAACCUGAUAAUAGUGGACCAGAGUAGACCUUGUGCAGCUGGCUUUGCUGAACCAGAACCUGGCAGCAGCAGAUCUGGUGGCAGCAACUUUGACAGACUGGAUUGGAGCAGACCUGCUAUUGCUGACUUGAUUGGACUGGGCCAUGCCUGGCAGAAGUGUAUGAGAGGCACUCACUUGGAUUGCCACAUAAUCUAACUGGAUUCUUGAGUCAAGUUUAGAUCCAAAAAAGCAGUGAUAAACACCAAGGAUGUAGGACAGAAGCAGCUCUCUUACCUAAAGAAUGGCUGGAAGUCUGCUGUCCUGAACUGUAUAUUAGACCUCAAGCCUUCCUGGUUGUGAAGAAGUGAUGUCUGCCAGAGUCUGCAGACAGCCUUCAGCAGAGGGAGAAACAGCAUUCGCUAGAUGCAGGGAGGAAGCCACCUGUCCUGAGAGUGGCCAAGAUGAACAGCUGGUGUGGCCUAUCUCCAGGAAAAACUAACAGAUCUAAGGGUUAAUAGAGUAAUAGGGAAGGCAUGGCUGGUGUGCUUUUAAGCAUGAUUGGGAAGGUUCCAAGGCUCAGUAUAUGUCAACUAGUGAGUAAAAGGGUUGAGAAAACAGAGAUGCCUAAAAAUUUACAUUGUAAAGGCACAACAUAUCAGUGCUU